UAAUACGUAGGCAGCAAGCGUUGUUCGGAAUUACUGGGCGUAAAGAGUGUGUAGGCGGUGCCGCAAGUUUGGUGUGAAAUCUCCCGGCUUAACUGGGAGGGUGCGCCGAAAACUGCGGUGCUUGAGUGUGGGAGAGGGAAGCGGAAUUCCUGGUGUAGCGGUGAAAUGCGUAGAUAUCAGGAGGAACACCUGCGGUGUAGACGGCUUCCUGGACCACCACUGACGCUGAGACACGAAAGCGUGGGUAGCAAACAGGAUUAGAUACCCUGGUAGUCCACGCCCUAAACGAUGCAUACUUGGUGUGGGCCAUUCAGUUGGUCCGUGCCGGAGCUAACGCGUUAAGUAUGCCGCCUGGGGAGUACGGUCGCAAGGCUG
RNAcentral lists this ribosomal RNA (375 nucleotides) under uncultured bacterium. RNAcentral's name for it is "bacterial SSU rRNA". It matches the Rfam family "Bacterial small subunit ribosomal RNA", at positions 521 to 896 of the family's 1533-position model. The record is from RNAcentral.